AUUGAACGCUGGCGGCAUGCCUUACACAUGCAAGUCGAACGGCAGCACGGGAGCAAUCCUGGUGGCGAGUGGCGAACGGGUGAGUAAUAUAUCGGAACGUGCCCAGUAGUGGGGGAUAGCCCGGCGAAAGCCGGAUUAAUACCGCAUACGACCUGAGAGUGAAAGCGGGGGAUCGCAAGACCUCGCGCUAUUGGAGCGGCCGAUAUCAGAUUAGCUUGUUGGUGGGGUAAAAGCCUACCAAGGCGACGAUCUGUAGCUGGUCUGAGAGGACGACCAGCCACACUGGGACUGAGACACGGCCCAGACUCCUACGGGAGGCAGCAGUGGGGAAUUUUGGACAAUGGGCGCAAGCCUGAUCCAGCCAUGCCGCGUGCGGGAAGAAGGCCUUCGGGUUGUAAACCGCUUUUGUCAGGGAAGAAACGGCUCUUGAUAAUACCGAGAGCUAAUGACGGUACCUGAAGAAUAAGCACCGGCUAACUACGUGCCAGCAGCCGCAGUAA
RNAcentral lists this ribosomal RNA (500 nucleotides) under uncultured bacterium. Its description in RNAcentral is "partial 16S ribosomal RNA". It matches the Rfam family "Bacterial small subunit ribosomal RNA", at positions 29 to 523 of the family's 1533-position model. The record is from RNAcentral.